RNAcentral lists this long non-coding RNA (1112 nucleotides) under Callithrix jacchus (white-tufted-ear marmoset). RNAcentral's name for it is "lncRNA (ENSCJAG00000068749.2)". The record is from RNAcentral. Lineage: Eukaryota; Metazoa; Chordata; Mammalia; Primates; Cebidae.
CUGAAGGAGAAACUGAGUCCCUGCGAGCCUAGGCUCCCUCAUUGUUAUACAUGGAGCUGAGACCCAAAAAUGCAGGCCUUCUGUAUUCCAGUGGUCACAACCAGAGGAGUUUAAGUUACAUCUUGUAGCUGAGUUGAUUUUUGGGGGGAACGGAGUGGUACUAAACCCCCUAAAAGAUUCGUGUGUAGGUAGCUUCCUGGUUGGGCAUCUCACUGCUUUCAUUGUGAUCAGGGGACUGAUCUUCUCACUGUAGAAGUUUUUUUUUUUUAAUAUAUAUAUUAUUGCUUUUUAGGUUUUGGGGUAUAUAUGCAGUUUUAAAGGAAAACUGGAUACUGUCGACUCAGAAAUUGCCUCUUUUUUGGAUCAAGGCAAGGGUCAGGCUGUGUCACCCAGCCUGGAGUGCAGUGGUGGAAUCACAACUCACUGCACCCUCAACCUUUUUGAGCUCACGCCAUCCUCCUAUCCCAGCCUUCCGAGUAGCUUGGACUACAGGCAUGCACCACCACACCUGGCUGUCUGGUAAGUUUUUAUUGGAUGCUGGAUAUUGUGAUUUUUAUGCAGUUGCUUGCUGGAGUUGUUGUAUUCCUUCAAACAGUGUUGAAUUUUGUUUUGGCAUGGAGUUAAAUGCUUUGGAAUCUACUCAGUCCUUUGGGGCUUGCUUUUAAAUUUUGUUGGGUCUGGUCCAGGGAAGCCUUUAUUCUAGGUCCAAUUUGCCCCCACUAUUAUGUCCAUGCAUUUCUAAGGAUUUUCCUCAUUAUCACAUGUAUUAAAUGCUCUUCCACUCUGGCUAGUGGGAACACAAACAUAUCCAGCACUGUGUAAGCCGUGGGAUAUGCUCUGAGUGCUCCUUUCUGAUGAUUCUUUCUCCAGUCCCAGUACUUUCCCCUCAAGUAUGUGUACACCAGUAAUCAGCCAGGCCCAGGAUGCUUUCUGGGUAGGCUUGGGCUUCCUCCCCAUAAUUCCAGCAGCCCUGCCCUCACUGGAUCCUCUGCUCCGUCUCCUCACCUCAGGGAGACCUCCUGACUCUAUGUGGGCUUCCCCUCCCUGUGCCACCUAGAACAUUUUCUAGGCACCACCACAACUGGGCUGUCUGCUAUGUUUUUAUUGGAUGC